RNAcentral lists this long non-coding RNA (600 nucleotides) under Helianthus annuus (common sunflower). Its description in RNAcentral is "sRNA HanXRQr2_Chr11g0517831". The record is from RNAcentral. Lineage: Eukaryota; Viridiplantae; Streptophyta; Magnoliopsida; Asterales; Asteraceae.
AUGAUGGAUAUGAUCGGGUGGUUCUGCUGGUGGCACGAUGAUACUCCAAUGGUCCGUCAGUGAUCCAAAUUUACCGUUCAAAAAAAAUGAUAGUUUGAAACUUUUGAGUCCCCAUCAUGUGUAGCGGGGAAAUGAAGUGGUGUGAAGCCCAACCUCCGCCUCCCGCAGCAUGAUCUUCGAAUUUUGGCUCCCGACGUUACCAUUAAAACGCUGCUUUUGUUGUUGGUUUCAAAAAAAAAAAUUUGUAUGAUCAUAGGGUAAGGGUUGCUUUUGUUUUAUUUUUCUAAAAAAGAUAAUUGGGUAGGGGUGAGAAAAAAACCGAAUUAACCGACAAAACCGAAUAACGGGUCGCUUAUGGUUAUCAAUGUUUCCAUGCCCAACAUAAUGAACCGAAUCAAGAUGUAGUAAACUCUUUGUUGGAUUUUAGACUUUUCACCAUUUUUCAAUAGUUGAUGUUUUUGAUUAAAUGUGUGUUAGAAUUUAUGGAUUAUAUUAUAUCGUUUUGGUUGAAAGUCUGUUUGAAUUUAUUGUUUAUAUCAUAUCGUUUUAUUUGAAUAUUCAUAAAUAAUUGGUAUUAAUAUUAUAGAUUAUAUAUGUUUU